UAGGGAAUCUUCCACAAUGGACGCAAGUCUGAUGGAACAACGCCGCGUGAGUGAAGAAGGUUUUCGGACCGUAAAGCUCUGUUGUUGGUGAAGAAGGAUAGAGGUAGUAACUGGCCUUUAUUUGACGGUAAUCAACCAGAAAGUCACGGCUAACUACGUGCCAGCAGCCGCGGUAAUACGUAGGUGGCAAGCGUUGUCCGGAUUUAUUGGGCGUAAAGCGAGCGCAGGCGGAAGAAUAAGUCUGAUGUGAAAGCCCUCGGCUUAACCGAGGAAUUGCAUCGGAAACUGUUUUCUUGAGUGCAGAAGAGGAGAGUAGAACUCCAUGUGUAGCGGUGGAAUGCGUAGAUAUAUGGAAGAAUACCAGUGGCGAAGGCGGCUCUCUGGUCUGCAACUGACGCUGAGGCUCGAAAGCAUGGGUAGCGAACAGGAUUAGAUACCCUGGUAGUCCAUG
This 451-nucleotide ribosomal RNA is filed under the name uncultured bacterium. Its description in RNAcentral is "partial 16S ribosomal RNA". It matches the Rfam family "Bacterial small subunit ribosomal RNA", at positions 355 to 799 of the family's 1533-position model. The record is from RNAcentral.